AUAGCUGCAGAGUUUUCACCCACAAAAACACUAUGGCAUGAUAGCAGAGUGCGGGAUGACCACUCUUUUUAAUGUUAUAGUUUAACGAUAUUAAAGUUUACAAUAAAUAUUCUACUAUUAAGAUAUAGCAUAAAUCACUCUAAUAGCCAGUGAGGUGUUUUCGAAGUAAAACCCCAGUUCUUUUAAAAUUCUAACAAACCAAAACUGCGCCCCCCCCCCCCCCCCAACCUUGACACAGUGGUUGCCUUGACUAAUUUUUUGUGCAUGUCCUGCAUUUGACCCUUCCCAACCUAGCUUUGUAAGCUCUUUAUAAAUUACAUGCAAUCCCACAUCACUCGAGCCCAAUAAGCCAUCAUUAACCAGAAAACUCAUCUACAUAUGAAUGUGAUGAGCCACCCAAGCCCUCACAUACACAAACACAGUUUAAUUUUUUUCUCCCUCGUCGUCUCUCUUCUUAUGCCCCCUCUACACUACAAAAAAUAUAAGAUACAAAUUACAAUUAAAAAAUUUCAUUCCAGUAACUUCCCACUUCUGUUUUGUGCCAAUAAAGGUAUUUCUGGUCCGACCGAAGUCACUUAGUUUGUCCAGUCUAAUAUGAUUCACAUCAAGUUCAAUGACAUUUGACACCAGUUUGAGAGCAGAUCCGAUCUUAUGACUUAAUAACACUGACUACAAGCUCAGUUUAUAAUCAAAUCAGCAAAUCCAAACAGGCUUGAUAACAGGCUUGAUAACACUACUUGAAACUAAACCUAGACUGGGAUUAUGAUAGGUUGGCGAGUAUAGAACACAUUUGCAUCGACAUGAGUUUGAGAGCCAAUUCAAUAUUAUGACUGACUGAACUGUUCAUAAGUUUGGUUUACGGUCAAACCAACCAGCCAAUCUGACCUGAGUUUAAUAACACUACAUGAAACUGAACAAAUAGUGUAAUUGCACCUAUCAUGUAUCCCCCCUCCUCCUGAUUAUAUUAUUAAUGAUUGGGUUUAUGAUUGUUUGGUGAGUAUAGAACAGAUGUGAUGUUCCGAAAACAAAUAGGAAUGCUUAAGAACGCAUUGGUGUGCCUGAGAGUAAGAUUCAUAAGUGCAACUCUAUGCCAUUUUCUCCCAACCAUAUAUUCUAGUUUUGACUGUUUCUUCGCUCUUCAUUUGUGUGUAUGCAUGAUCUAGGAUUAGGGUUUCGUGAGGGUUCAGAAGGGAUAUUUUCCAAUAUUUGGGGAUUAGAUAUCUUAUUUCAAGAUUUAACUAGGACUGAAUUGUAGAUAUCAUAUCUUAUCUUACCAUAGGAUUUGAUUAUGUUUGAAUUAUAGAUAUUUAAUCUUAUCUUUACUAUUUGAUCAAGCUUGAAGAGUAGACACUUUAUCUAACCUUACUUAGGAUUUGGUACAUUCAAAUCGUAGAUGUCUUGUCAAGUUUAAUCUUAG
Molecule: long non-coding RNA, 1417 nt
Filed under: Vigna radiata
Lineage: Eukaryota; Viridiplantae; Streptophyta; Magnoliopsida; Fabales; Fabaceae
Description: long non-coding RNA (VRAD_LNC005906)
Source: RNAcentral